ACGGCUAUACCACAUUGGUAACACCGAUUCUAGUCCGAUCACCGAAGUUAAGCAACGUCGGGCCCGGUCAGUAUUUGGGAGGGUGACCACCUGGGGACAUCGGGUGAUGUAGGCU
RNAcentral lists this ribosomal RNA (115 nucleotides) under Cordylochernes scorpioides. The record is from RNAcentral. Lineage: Eukaryota; Metazoa; Arthropoda; Arachnida; Pseudoscorpiones; Chernetidae.